Molecule: long non-coding RNA, 244 nt
Organism: Paramormyrops kingsleyae
Lineage: Eukaryota; Metazoa; Chordata; Actinopteri; Osteoglossiformes; Mormyridae
Source: RefSeq, a predicted model, not a curated record
AGCUGUUGGGCAGCGUCUGCACCAUGCUGCCCCUUUGCCACGGACCUGCUAUGCACAGGUGGGGAGGUUUUGGCCAAAACCGACCCAGCUGGUGCCUCUUAUCCCGAAAGGCCAUCCAGCUCCCGGAGAGUGACAUCUGGACAGAGGGAUGGAGUUCCAGCGUCUGCAGGAGGACAGAAAGGAAGAGGGAUGUGAAGAGGGGAGGGACGACCUGCAGAAGGCUCGGGGGGCACAGCUGGGGGAG